GGAUCAUGGUUAUAUCAUAGAGAGAGGAACACAUGCCAGCUCCCUACUCUCUUGCUAGCCCCAUGCCAGGGAAACCAGGAUCUGCUUUUAUGUGCCUUGAACAAGUGUGGAAUCAAGGAGCUAAGCAACUUACAACACCUAACAUCUGCCUUGAGAUGGAGGAAGGAAUUAAAUAUCUCCAGAAUCGCAAAUUUUAUCCUGACACCUGGACCAGCAUUCCUCUGCCCGCCAUUAUGGACUGCAGGUAGCCGUUAGGUGAACUGGGGAAGGAAGGUCACCAUCAAAACCUGCUGAAAGGCAAAUAUUAACAGUAGUGCUUAGCUCCGUUUCAACUGCCUUAGAACAAACAGCCACUUCCCAAUGUGUAGAAAUAAUAACAUUAAAAUAAAUACUGCUCUGUGCUACCCUGGAGUCUAUGC
This 419-nucleotide long non-coding RNA is filed under the name Struthio camelus australis. RNAcentral's name for it is "lncRNA (ENSSCUG00000007974.1)". The record is from RNAcentral. Lineage: Eukaryota; Metazoa; Chordata; Aves; Struthioniformes; Struthionidae.